This is an unclassified non-coding RNA of Otolemur garnettii (small-eared galago), 102 nucleotides long. It matches the Rfam family "Y RNA". Rfam says of the family: Y RNAs are components of the Ro ribonucleoprotein particle (Ro RNP), in association with Ro60 and La proteins. The Y RNAs and Ro60 and La proteins are well conserved, but the function of the Ro RNP is not known. The record is from Ensembl. NCBI's taxonomy places the organism in Eukaryota, Metazoa, Chordata, Mammalia, Primates, Galagidae.
GGCUGGUCCAAGUGCAGCAAUGUUUAUAGCUAAUUGAUCACAACCAGCUACAGAUUCCUUUGCUCUGUCUCCCCUUCCACUGUUUCACUUGACUAGCCUUAA